This 840-nucleotide ribosomal RNA is filed under the name uncultured eukaryote. RNAcentral's name for it is "SSU rRNA". It matches the Rfam family "Eukaryotic small subunit ribosomal RNA", at positions 635 to 1426 of the family's 1831-position model. The record is from RNAcentral.
CGGUGUUCAACUGGCGUGCCCGCGGGACGUCCUGCCGGUGAGCUCAGCCCGCGAGGGCGGCUCAACUUGAAAUCCCAUCGCGGUGCUCUUCAUUGAGUGUCGAGGUGGGCCGGCACGAUUACUUUUGAACAAAUUAGAGUGCUUAAAGCAGGCUAAAAUUUUGCCUGAAUACUGUGUAUAUGGAAUAAUGGAAUAGGACCUCGGUUCUAUUUUGUUGGUUUUCGGAACCCCGAGGUAAUGAUUAAUAGGAACGGAUGGGGGCAUUCGUAUUGCGACGUUAGAGGUGAAAUUCUUGGAUCGUCGCAAGACGGACUAAAAGCGAAAGCAUUUGCCAAAAACGCUUUCAUUGAUCAAGAACGAAAGUUAGAGGUUCGAAGGCGAUCAGAUACCGCCCUAGUUCUAACCAUAAACUAUGCCAGCUAGCGAUCCGCCGACGUCCCUCUGAUGACUCGGCGGGCAGCUUCCGGGAAACCAAAGCUUUUGGGUUCCGGGGGAAGUAUGGUUGCAAAGCUGAAACUUAAAGGAAUUGACGGAAGGGCACCACCAGGAGUGGAGCCUGCGGCUUAAUUUGACUCAACACGGGAAACCUCACCAGGCCCAGACACUGGAAGGAUUGACAGAUUGAGAGCUCUUUCUUGAUUCAGUGGGUGGUGGUGCAUGGCCGUUUUUAGUCGGUGGAGCGAUUUGUCAGGUUAAUUCCGAUAACGGACGAGACUCUGACCUGAUAACUAGACGCACUUGCGGCAUCUCAAAGGUCCGCCGGCGGCUGGCUUUGCGCCCGUCGUCGCGCGCGAUUUUUACUGCCGGCGUACAAUAAAUUCUUCUUAGAGGGACAAGUGG